AUUGAACGCUGGCGGCAGGCCUAACACAUGCAAGUCGAACGAGUGGCGGACGGGUGAGUAAUGUCUGGGAAACUGCCCGAUGGAGGGGGAUAACUACUGGAAACGGUAGCUAAUAUCGCAUACCAUCGGAUGUGCCCAGAUGGGAUUCGCUUGUAGGUGAGUUAACGGCUCCCCUAGGCGACGAUCCCUAGCUGGGCUGAGAGGAUGACCAGCCACCCGGGAACUGUGACACGGUCCAGACUCCUACGGGAGGCAGCAGUUGGGAAUAUUGCACAAUGGGCGCAAGCCUGAUUCAGCCAUGCCGCGUGUAUGAAGAAGGCCUUCGUGUUGUAAAGUACUUUCAGCGGGGAGGCGUUACCCGCAGAAGAAGCACCGGCUAACUCCGUGCCAGCAGCCGCGGUAAUAC
This 406-nucleotide ribosomal RNA is filed under the name uncultured bacterium. RNAcentral describes it as "partial 16S ribosomal RNA". It matches the Rfam family "Bacterial small subunit ribosomal RNA", at positions 30 to 526 of the family's 1533-position model. The record is from RNAcentral.